CCUACGGGUGGCAGCAGUGGGGAAUAUUGCACAAUGGGGGAAACCCUGAUGCAGCAACGCCGCGUGGGUGAAGGAGCGUUUCGGCGCGUAAAGCCCUGUCAGCGGGGAAGAAGAAAGACGGUACCCGACCAAGAAGCCCCGGCUAACUACGUACCAGCAGCCGCGGGAAUUCGGAGGGGGCGAGCGUUAUCCGGAAUUACUGGGUGUAAAGGGAGCGUAGACGGCGAGGUAAGCCUGAAGGGGAAGCCCCGGGCCCAAACGCGGAACUGCCUUGGAAACUGGUUUGCUGGAGUAGGGGAGGGGUAAGCGGAAUGCCUGGUGUAGCGGUGAAAUGCGUAGAUAUUAGGAGGAACACCAGUGGCGAAGGCGGCUUACUGGACUGUAACUGACGUUGAGGCUCGAAAGCGUGGGGAGCAAACAGGAUUAGAUACCCGUGUAGUC
This 441-nucleotide ribosomal RNA is filed under the name uncultured bacterium. RNAcentral's name for it is "partial 16S ribosomal RNA". It matches the Rfam family "Bacterial small subunit ribosomal RNA", at positions 338 to 795 of the family's 1533-position model. The record is from RNAcentral.